Salmo salar (Atlantic salmon) is the source of this 114-nucleotide non-coding RNA. NCBI's taxonomy places the organism in Eukaryota, Metazoa, Chordata, Actinopteri, Salmoniformes, Salmonidae. The record is from Rfam.
CUGGGCUAUGGGGACAUGUACCCGGAGACCUGUUCCGGCAUGGUAAUUGGAGCCCUGUGUGCUCUGGCAGGUAUUCUGACCAUAGCCAUGCCUGUCCCAGUCAUAGUCAAUAAC